GAACCGGAACCGGAACCAGGACUGGGAAAAUCCGGAACCGGGGAGAAUCCAGAACUGGAACCGGGACCAGGGAAACUCCGGCACGGGAACUGGGACCUGGACCUGAACUGGGACCAGGCAAAAUACGGAACCGGGACCGGGACCGGGACUGGGAAAGAACCAGAACCAGGACUGGAACCGGAACCGGGACCAGGGAAAAUCCGGAACCGGAACUGGAACCAGAACCGGGACCAGGGAAACUCCGGAACUGGAACUGGGGACCUGGACUGGGGCCAGGGAAACUCUGGAACUGGAACUGGGACUGGGACACAGCCAGAACCAGGACUGGAACCAGAACCGGGACUGGAACCGGAACCGGAACCGGGACUGGAACCGGGACUGGGGAAACUCCAGAACUGGAACUGGGACCAAGAAAACUCCGGAACCGGAACUGGGACCUGGACUGGGAAACAACUGGAACUGGAUUCCUCUGGAACCAGACCGGGACCGGAACCGGGACUGGGAAACCUCCGGAACCGGGACCGGGGCCCCCCCCGGGCCGGUGGGGCAGGAGGGGAAAGGACUCGGGGACGUUUCCGUGCCCGCGGUUUGGGGGGGGCCCAGGACCCCCAGAUCCGUUCCAGCCCCCCCCCCCAAAUCCAUUCCGGACCCCCAAAAAUCCAUUCCGGACCUCUGAAAUCCAUUCCAGACCUCCAGAAUCCAUUCCAGCCCCCCCAAAAUCCAUUCCGGACCCCCCGAAUCCAUUCCGGACACCCCAAAUCCAUUCCAGACUUCCCAAAUCCAUUCCAGACUUCCGAAAUCCAUUCUGGACCCCCAAAAAUCCAUUCCGGACCACUUUGAAUCCAUUCCGGACACCCCAAAUCCAUUCCGUACCUCUGAAAUCCAUUUCAGACCUCCAGAAUCCAUUCCGGACCUUUGGAAUCCAUUCCUGACCCAGGGAAUCCAUCCCGGGCCACCCUGAAUCCAUUCCAGACCUCUGAAAUCCGUUCCAGCCCCCCCAAAAUCCAUCCCGGACCCUCGGCUGACCCCUCCCCUCCCCCGCUCCGCUGCUCGGGACCCCUCCGGUGUCACCGGGGGGGACAAAAAUUGGGGAAAACGACCCCAAAAUCUCCUGGGGGGGGUGUCCCGCCCCUCCCCCACAGUAAAGACCCUCCAUGUCCGCCGGCCGCAGUGGGAUCUGUGCCCCUCCCCCUCCCCAAAAAACAAUUUGGGAUUUUGGGGAGGGGUCGCGGUGGGGGAGGGGUCGUGGUGGGGGAGGGGGGGUGGGCACAGCGCUAAAACCGCCCCUCCCCCCCCCCCAUAAAUGAAACCGGGCUGAAUUUUAGGGGGUGGGGGCGGGGCCUGGGGGUUUUGGGGGGGUCUUUUCACCCCCUCCCCCCACCCCACCCCCAUAAAAACAUUUCGGGGAGGGGUCGCGGUGGGGGAGGGGUCGCGGUGGGGGAGGGGGGGAUGGGCACAGCGCUAAACCCGCCCCUCCCCCAUUAAAUCGAACCGGGUUAAAUUUUGGGCGGUGGGGGCGGGGCUGGCGAGGCGGGGGCGGGGCCUGGGGGUGGGGGGGGGUCUGUCCGCCCCCUCCCCCUCCCCAAUUCCCCCUCCCCUCCCCCCCCCGGGGGUUGAACUUCCUGGGUCAGCGCCGCCGCCUUCCCAUUGUCCGAGCGGCGGCGGCGGCGGGGGCGGCCCGGGGGUCGCGGGACCCCCCCCGGCUCCUCCGGGGCUGUUUUUGGGGCGUUUCGGGUUUUUUGGGGUUGGUUGAUUUUGAUUUUUAUUUUUUUGGGGGCGUUUCGGGUUUUUUGGGGUUGGUUGAUUUUGAUUUUUAUUUUUUUGGGGGCGUUUCGGGUUUUUUGGGGUUGGUUGAUUUUUAUUUCUAUUUUUUUGGGGGCGCGGCGAUGUCGCCGAAGCGCUGGAGGGGUG
RNAcentral lists this long non-coding RNA (1911 nucleotides) under Taeniopygia guttata (zebra finch). RNAcentral's name for it is "lncRNA (ENSTGUG00000018933.1)". Lineage: Eukaryota; Metazoa; Chordata; Aves; Passeriformes; Estrildidae. The record is from RNAcentral.